UACGUAGGGCGCAAGCGUUGUCCGGAAUUAUUGGGCGUAAAGCGCGCGCAGGCGGUCCUUUAAGUCUGAUGUGAAAGCCCACGGCUCAACCGUGGAGGGUCAUUGGAAACUGGGGGACUUGAGUGCAAAAGAGGAAAGCGGAAUUCCACGUGUAGCGGUGAAAUGCGUAGAGAUGUGGAGGAACACCAGUGGCGAAGGCGGCUUUCUGGUCUGUAACUGACGCUGAGGCGCGAAAGCGUGGGGAGCAAACAGG
This 253-nucleotide ribosomal RNA is filed under the name uncultured bacterium. RNAcentral describes it as "partial 16S ribosomal RNA". It matches the Rfam family "Bacterial small subunit ribosomal RNA", at positions 524 to 776 of the family's 1533-position model. The record is from RNAcentral.